Long non-coding RNA from Octopus bimaculoides (California two-spot octopus), 755 nucleotides. The record is from RefSeq and is a predicted model, not a curated record. NCBI's taxonomy places the organism in Eukaryota, Metazoa, Mollusca, Cephalopoda, Octopoda, Octopodidae.
CAUAUGUAUGUACACAUGUAUGUGUGUGUGUAUGUUUGUAUUUCUUUGUCUUCACAUGCCGUAAUAGCUGUAAAUGAGUUUCACUUUCAUAUAAGCAGUGUCAUUCAUUUCCAAUAUUUUGUGAGAACGUCUGGCCAUGGGGAAAUAUUACCUGACUUGGGAACAGCUGCAGGUGGCAUCAGGAAGGCAUUCAGCCAUGUAAAAUCUACCUCAAUAAGCUUUGUUCCAUGCAAGCAUAGCAAAGUAGAUGUUAAAAAAACGAAAAUGGUGAAAUUGACCACCAGUAUGGCUUAUGCAGAGCUAGAUCUACUACAGACCUACUUACUUGACCUACUUGACCACUAGAGACUUACUACAUCACUUGCCAGUUGGUUUUCACUUUAGAGAAGUUUCAUUUGAUGAAAAAAAGGCAAAAACAAAUGGAAAUUCAUCACCAAUUUCAACGAAUACUCUAGUUGUUUGAUCAACAGAGUUACCUAUUUCUUGAAUUGUAAUAUGAGGAACCAAAUAUUCCACAGACAUGAGUACCUUUACUAGUAUUGUCAAACAGAUUUGACAUGAAAUUGUGUGACAAGGCAAGUCACUCUAAUUACAGGUGUACAUCAUCCAACAGGCACAGUUUCCAUCAACCAAAUAUCACUAUGAUGACCUGAGAUGAUGGUAGAAAACACUUGCUCAAGGUCCAAGAAGCUGCUUGUCCAAGUGGAGUCAAAUCCAAGACUUUCUGAUUCAGAGGUUUGCUUUCACUAAAUGAA